UCCCUAGUAGUCCAGAGGCUGAGACUCCCCACUCCCAAUGCGGGGCGCCCAGGUUCAAUCCCUGGUUGGGGAA
This 73-nucleotide transfer RNA is filed under the name Ovis aries (sheep). It matches the Rfam family "tRNA". From Rfam's summary of the family: Transfer RNA (tRNA) molecules are approximately 80 nucleotides in length. Their secondary structure includes four short double-helical elements and three loops (D, anti-codon, and T loops). The record is from Rfam by way of RNAcentral. Lineage: Eukaryota; Metazoa; Chordata; Mammalia; Artiodactyla; Bovidae.